CCUGUGUGUGUGUGUUUGUGUGUGUGUGUGCGUGCGUGUGUGUGUGUAUGUGUGUCUGUGUGUGUGCGUGUGUGUGUGUGUGUGUGUAUGUGUGCGUGUGUGUAAUAAAGGCCUUGGACACACAAAGGAUGUUCUUCUUCACCUUCACCUAUGGGAAGCUGAGCCACACGGCGAGGAUUAGAUUGUAAUCAUAGAAAUCAUAACCUCCCUCUCUCGCUCUCCCUGCCUCUCUCUUUCUCUCCCUAUCUGUUUCUGUUUCUCUGUCUGUCUCGUUCUCCCUCCUCCUCUCUGUCUCUCCAUUUCUCUUGUUCUCCCCCUGUUCUCUCUGUUUCUGUAUAUCUCUAUCAUGCUCUCUCUCCCUCCCUCCCCUUUUUCUCGCUCUUUGUUUCUGUUUCUCUCUCUCAUUCUCCCUCUCUCCCUCCCUCUGUCUUUCUGUUUCUCUAUUUCUCUUUUUCUCCUGUUACGUACCAAGCUACUCUCCCAGCUUGUUAAAUAUCAGAUACACUCAAAAUGACAGAAAGGAGGCCAGUAACAAGGACGUGUGUGUGUGUGUGUGUGUGUGUGUAGCAAAAUAAAUCAAACUUAACUGAGAUGGUCUGGCACCUGACGGACCCCCAGAGAGUUGAGGAUUACCUUCUGCCCUACUGAAGGAUGGCCUUCUCCAGCGUCCUCGUUCAGUCUUGCCCGCGCGCUUUGAUUCCUUUUGGUUGUGUUUGUUUAGUCUUUUUUUUUUUUUUGUCUUUUGUCAUAAAACUCUGGCUGGCACUUCCUACUCCCGGUGUCCCGUGUGGUUUGUGAAAAUGCGAUGGCUAUGAGUCACUUCUAUUGGUGUGGCUACAGGUGAUUAGCUGGAACACAACAAAACACACUUGCCGUGGAGCCAAGCUAACCCACCUCCCUCUUGGCCGAUCAGGCCUGAGAAAAACCCUCCUUUUCCGGAAGUCCCCCAACACCGUACUUAUCCGCCCAUACACAGGAACUACUCCUGCUGCAGCAACUCCAUUGAUACGAUACCUCACGCAGUCACACCAUUUUCAACACCAUGUCUCCAUCAGUGCUGUUAAAGGGUCAGCCGCAGGGUCAGCUGCAGAAGGAUGCAGCAGGUGCCAGUAAUGAAUUAAACAAUGAAAUAAACCAAAUAUAAAAUCAUGUAAAUGUACUAGUGUGUAUACGUGUACACAACACUCCCCUUGUCUCUCUCUCUCUCUCUCUCUCUCUCUCUGUGUGUGUUUCUGUACAUCUAUCUCAUGCUCUCUCCUUCUCUCCCUCUCACCAAUCCUCUGCUCUCUCAGUCUCUUUCUUUCUAUCUCUGGCCAGAGUGCAUGAAUUGUGCAUGAAUAUGUGGGUGUCUGUAUGUCUCUGUGUGUGCUUGUGUGAAUGUGUUUAUAUACAUGUGUGUGUAUAUGUGUUUGUCU
This is a long non-coding RNA of Clupea harengus (Atlantic herring), 1415 nucleotides long. Lineage: Eukaryota; Metazoa; Chordata; Actinopteri; Clupeiformes; Clupeidae. The record is from Ensembl.